Molecule: ribosomal RNA, 483 nt
Filed under: Lumbricus castaneus
Lineage: Eukaryota; Metazoa; Annelida; Clitellata; Crassiclitellata; Lumbricidae
Description: partial 16S ribosomal RNA
Rfam family: Bacterial large subunit ribosomal RNA
Source: RNAcentral
UGCUCCCAGAAUAUAGCUAAUUGGGAGUAACUCCUGCCCAGUGAGUAAUUCAACGGCCGCGGUAUCCUAACCGUGCAAAGGUAGCAUAAUCAUUUGCCCAUUAAUUGUGGGCUAGAAUGAAAGGAUUAACGAAAUAAAGACUGUCUCUGCAAGACACCUAAAAAUUACCCUCUAACCGAAGAGCGUUAGAUAUAAUCGAAGGACAAGAAGACCCUAUAGAGCUUAAUUUAAACAAAUGUAAAAAAUUUACUAAAAUUCGGUUGGGGCGACCGAGGAAAUGAUUAUCAUCCUCAGAUAAAAGAUAAAUAAAUCUAACUAAUGACCCUUAACUAAGAUCACUAAAACAAGCUACCUUAGGGAUAACAGGCUAAUCUCACUAGAGAGUCCUUAUUAAUAGUGAGGUUUGGCACCUCGAUGUUGGCUUAGGGAAUCUAUGUGGCGCAAAAGUCACAUAAAGAUGGUUUGUUCAACCAAUAACACCCU